This is a non-coding RNA of Arachis ipaensis, 385 nucleotides long. Lineage: Eukaryota; Viridiplantae; Streptophyta; Magnoliopsida; Fabales; Fabaceae. The record is from RefSeq and is a predicted model, not a curated record.
UGAUUCGAAUAUGAUGGUUGUGAGGAAAGAGACACCGUCCGAAGGUCUUGCAAUGUGAGUUUUUCAAGAAUAUUUCAACCUUAUAACCUUUUUAUUUUCAAAGGCAUUGUUAACCUUUCAUUUUUCUUCUUGUUUAGAGUUCCGAUUCAAGUUUGUCUACCAGUGUCCCAAACAACCACUGUGCCGGAAUUUGAAGAAACACCUGAGACAGAAUAUGAACCAACCCCUCUGCUACAAGUUGAAGGAACUACAAAAAUCACUCCUGAACCCCCCAACAACUGGAAGAAAGCACACCCACACUUCCCCCAGCUCCAUCUAAAAUCACCAGAAGACGCUACUGCAUUGAUGAUGAUGGCACAGACAGCAUCGUACAUUCCUAAAAAAG